RNAcentral lists this ribosomal RNA (388 nucleotides) under uncultured bacterium. Its description in RNAcentral is "bacterial SSU rRNA". It matches the Rfam family "Bacterial small subunit ribosomal RNA", at positions 29 to 419 of the family's 1533-position model. The record is from RNAcentral.
AUUGAACGCUGGCGGAAUGCUUUACACAUGCAAGUCGAGCGGCAGCGCGGGGGCAACCCUGCGGCGAGCGGCGAACGGGUGAGUAAUACAUCGGAACGUGUCCUUAAGUGGGGGAUAGCUCGGCGAAAGCCGGAUUAAUACCGCAUAAGCUCUGAGGAGGAAAGCGGGGGCUCCGUAAGGACCUCGCGCUGUUGGAGCGGCCGAUGUCGGAUUAGCUAGUUGGUGGGGAAAGGCCCACCAAGGCGACGAUCCGUAGCUGGUCUGAGAGGAUGAUCAGCCACACUGGAACUGAGACACGGUCCAGACUCCUACGGGAGGCAGCAGUGGGGAAUUUGGACAAUGGGGGCAACCCUGAUCCAGCCAUUCCGCGUGAGUGAAGAAGGCCUGG